AACGAACGCUGGCGGCAUGCCUAACACAUGCAAGUCGAACGAGACCUUCGGGUCUAGUGGCGCACGGGUGCGUAACGCGUGGGAACCUGCCCUUAGGUUCGGAAUAACUCCCCGAAAGGGGUGCUAAUACCGGAUAAUGUCUUCGGACCAAAGAUUUCUCGCCUUUGGAUGGGCCCGCGUUGGAUUAGCUAGUUGGUAGGGUAAAAGCCUACCAAGGCGACGAUCCGUAGCUGGUCUGAGAGGAUGAUCGGCCACAUUGGGACUGAGAUACGGCCCAGACUCCUACGGGCGUCAGCCGUGGGGUAUCUUGCACAAUGGGCGGAAUCCUGAUGGCGCAACGCCGCGUGCGGGAUGACGGCCGUCGGGUUGUACACCGCUUGCGCCUGUGACGAAGCGUGAGUGACGGUAAUGGGUACAGAAGCACCGGCUCACUACGUG
RNAcentral lists this ribosomal RNA (438 nucleotides) under uncultured bacterium. Its description in RNAcentral is "partial 16S ribosomal RNA". It matches the Rfam family "Bacterial small subunit ribosomal RNA", at positions 29 to 507 of the family's 1533-position model. The record is from RNAcentral.